CAACCAUCAAGCCCCGCGCUUGUGUUGGGGACCUGCGGCUGCCGCAGGCCCUGAAAACCAGUGGCGGGCUCGCUGUCACACCGGGCGUAGUAGAUUUUAUCUCGCUCAGGGCGUGCUGCGGGUUCCGGCCGUUAAAAAGCCUUUUUUACCCAA
RNAcentral lists this unclassified non-coding RNA (153 nucleotides) under Botryotrichum piluliferum. RNAcentral describes it as "ITS2". The record is from RNAcentral. Lineage: Eukaryota; Fungi; Ascomycota; Sordariomycetes; Sordariales; Chaetomiaceae.